RNAcentral lists this ribosomal RNA (468 nucleotides) under uncultured bacterium. RNAcentral's name for it is "partial 16S ribosomal RNA". It matches the Rfam family "Bacterial small subunit ribosomal RNA", at positions 28 to 507 of the family's 1533-position model. The record is from RNAcentral.
GACGAACGCUGGCGGCGUGCUUAACACAUGCGAGUCGAACGGAAAGGCCCUGCUUUUGUGGGGUGCUCGAGUGGCGAACGGGUGAGUAACACGUGAGUAACCUGCCCUUGACUUUGGGAUAACUUCAGGAAACUGGGGCUAAUACCGGAUAGGAGCUCCUGCUGCAUGGUGGGGGUUGGAAAGUUUCGGCGGUUGGGGAUGGACUCGCGGCUUAUCAGCUUGUUGGUGGGGUAGUGGCUUACCAAGGCUUUGACGGGUAGCCGGCCUGAGAGGGUGACCGGCCACAUUGGGACUGAGAUACGGCCCAGACUCCUACGGGAGGCAGCAGUGGGGAAUAUUGCACAAUGGGCGGAAGCCUGAUGCAGCAACGCCGCGUGCGGGAUGACGGCCUUCGGGUUGUAAACCGCCUUCGCCUGUGACGAAGCGUGAGUGACGGUAAUGGGUAAAGAAGCACCGGCUAACUGCGUG